GAUGAACGCUGGCGGCGUGCCUAACACAUGCAAGUCGAGCGCUCAAAACAUGACUUUUGUUGGCUUGCGUUAGUGGCGGACGGGUGAGUAACACGUGGAUAACCUGCCUUUAAGUCUGGGAUAACGUCCGGAAACCGGAGCUAAUACCGGAUAUUAUCUUGAAUCCCCAUGUGCGAUGGUGAAAAAGUGUGUUGCUGUGGCGUAUGGACUGACGCCCGCCGCAUUUGCUAGUGGGUAGGGGAACGGCUUACCAAGGCGCGGAUGCGUAGCCGGCCUGCGAGGGGGAUCGGCCACACUGGAACUGAGACACGGUCCAGACUCCUAAGGGCGGCAGCAGUCGGGAGUCUUGCACAAUGGGCGAUAGCCUGACGGAGGAAGGCCGCGUGAGGGAUGAAGGUCUUAGGAUCGUAAAACGCUGUUAUUAGGGAAGAACGGAUGUGUAGGAACCGAUGGAUGUCUUGACGGUACCUAGUAAGAAAGCCCCGGCUAACUACGUG
This 497-nucleotide ribosomal RNA is filed under the name uncultured bacterium. RNAcentral describes it as "partial 16S ribosomal RNA". It matches the Rfam family "Bacterial small subunit ribosomal RNA", at positions 28 to 507 of the family's 1533-position model. The record is from RNAcentral.